UAUAUAGAGAGAUUAUCUUUCCAUUAGGUUGAGCGAUCUGAUCCGGCAAAUGUUUUAAAUGCUACACUCAUGAACUUAUCAUUCAUCAACUUUGUCUUGCUCACCAUGCUUAAGGUUAGAGAAGAACAAAUACACUUUUGGUUCUGUUGGUGUUUUCCACCAACAGGGCCCAUGCACUUGAUCUCUGCCUUGUCUCUAUGAGCAGGUACACUACGAGCACAAACACACUGAGCAAGAUACUGCCAAUGUCGCACUUCGAACUGCUGGGCAAACAAAGAACAUGGGUGACACCGUAUCAAGAGGUGCAGGCCUCAAGGUCCACACCUGAAUCAAAAGACGCACCUAAGAAUGAACACGGUGAGAAGUCUUGUCUAGAAGACUUAAAACAUUGGAUCCUUGCCGGACGGUAAAAUCGGUAUUUAUCCAUAUUUAUCUUUUCUGCAUUCCUUUUCCUUUUUAUUCCAUCACUUGCAUUAGCAUAUUUACUUUUCUACAUUGGCACUAGAAAAGAAAACAAAAAAAUAUUUGUUCAUUACACUGCAUCAUAAAAUCUAAGGCCCCAUGUGAGUAUACUCGUGGCAUAAAACCCAUAAGUACAUUCACUGUGGUGGCGUAAAAAUAAAAUAAAUAUAUUCCUGUCCUAUAAAAAUGAAAAUAUAAAAAUAAAUUUAUGAUCCUACCAAAGAGAGUAAUAUUGAUUAAAGGAAGCUCAACAUGAUAAAGGCUAGAUAUUUAUGCUAACACUUAACUAGUUCCACAAAGCUUUGUUGUCUAUUUGAGCUCCACAGAAUUCAAGGAUCAAAGAAGACUAGCAGACGGAGGAUAUCCUAAUUGCUGUCAGGGUGCUGCCGACAUUCAAAUACACCUCCGCCACCUGCUAGCUACAUCAGAAGAAAUUACGUCAAAAUCCAGCUUGGGGGAGAGCACCCCCAUUUAUCCAGCUAAGUAUUUCUAUCUACGUUUAUACUUAUGCUUUAUUAAAAUAAUAAAAAGAUGCAUAAUCAUAAAAACCGAAAUAAAGAUUUUAUGCUUAUAUAUAUAUAUAUAUAUCUUUUCUUAGUUUGCUAAAUAAAUAAAUAAAUAAAGUUUGCUAUGAACCCUCAUGAUAAGCUCUCACAUGGAAAUGAUGAAUAAUUGCUCUGCCAUGACUAGUUCUCAAAAUUGAAAUCUCUCUCAAAUUUAGGCAUUACUGUUAUGAAUUAAGAUUUGCUCUAAACCUGAACUUGUGGGAAGAGUACUUGAUCUAAAGUCUAAGUCGUUAACGGAUAUGAUACGGGAAGGUUGAGAUGCUGUUUAUCUGUUCCUAGAGAUGCUAGAAUUCUGGAGAAUUCUAUCUUUGAAAAUCUUUAAAAUGUUGCAUGAUGAGUUCCUGUAUGAUGAGAGUUUAAAAUCCUACCACAGCCAUAUAUACAUGCUUAUUAGACUAUGAACCAUACAUUUACUUUUUACUGCUUAUGAGCAUUGAGUGUGGUCAAGCUGUGUAGACCCUUAGGAGCUUGUCAUGCGGUUAAAAUCAAGAUUCACUUGCAUGUUCACCCAUACAUGCUGCUUCUACUCUGGAAGUACGCAUCCACAUACAUCCACUGCUUUCCAUCUCUAGAUUCACCCAAAAUUAUUCUACUCCUAUCCGGGAGAGAAUAGCCAAAAAUAUUAUCCUAUCCCUGUUAUUCUCUGUGAAAUAAAUGCUCUUGAUAUUUUGGUUACUACCACUUGCUACAUUAAUCUAGGAGGGUGAGUGCUCUGAAAAAAAGAAGAAGAAGAAGAAAAAAUAAUAAUAAUACGAGGAAAUAAAAAGGGGCAAGUGCCCGGAACCUCGAAGAAAAGAAAAAGUGAGACGAGAGGUAAAAAUGGACAAGUGUCCGACAGUAGAAUUAGGGGUACAGGAUACCCACCUCAGAGAAAAGAAAAAGAAAAUAUAGAGCAUCUCAUUCCCCUCAAAAAGUAUCAAAAAUGCAAGAAAGGUAUGUAUCCCCUCAAAAGAGCAAAAGUAGAAUUAGACUUUCACCAAUGUUUUCACCAAUAUCACCAUCAUCACCAUACACCAUUCAUUCGCCACACAUGCACAUCUUGAUUUGACUUAUUGACUUGUUUCUCUGGAUCCAUGGUUUGACUAUGCAAUAAAUGUCUUGUAAGUAUGUAUUAGCUGUCUCCCACCUAUGAGCUCCAGAUAUCAAAACCUUGUUAGAGUAGGGUGAGAGAGAAGGCAAUAUCAUUAUGCCUCAUACCACAAAUACCACAUACUUUGAGAGAAGGCAUAUAUCAUCACUGCCUUGGUAAGGAUCCAGAAAUACCACAAAAGAGAGACUAGAGAGAGUCAUACAAGGAAUCUCUGAGUUUUAUUUGAAAAUCUGCAAAAACUCCAGAGCUAUAGUUGAUCAAGAACAAGAGACAUGGUGCUUGACUUGACCGUUCUAUCUUUUAACUGCUCAAGACAUAAGUGACGGUUGCAAGCCCCAUGGUGGAAGGUAAUAUGAGUAAGUUUAAAUCUUAACAAUUUACCCUAACCAAGAGAUGAGAUCUUAUUUAAAUGCAUGUGUACCUUUAAGGCAUAAAACCACUGUAGAAACUCUUGAGUCCAUCCUUGCUCAGGGACGAGCAAGAGGUAAGUUUGGGGGAGUUGUUGACGGUCCUUAAGUACCAAAUCUAAUCAGCAAAUAAACAAAGAAAAGGAUCCAAAUACAACCAACAUCUAAACUUAGGGUUUUAUCUAACAGAAUUCCACAAGUUUUGGUGUUUGUCUAUUUCUGCAGGGGGUUAUCAGGAAAUACGGAAGAAAGGCCCACACGUCGGGUUUACAUAGAGAUAUUAACGUGCCGCGCAAUUUUCUAUCAUCUAGAAGACUCCAGAAGCCACGUGAUAUGACCAUGCCAGCAAGCAAUAUGUCACAAGCUCCAAGUCCAGCAAGCAAGAUGUCACAAGCUCCGAGUCAAGCUACAACCACUCAAGUUUUACCUACACCGACACCAGCCCAAAUCAUCGAUGGACCGGUUACACGUAGUCGUGCAAAGAAGCUACAACAAGAGGUCCACGCGCUACUUUGUGAGAUUCAUUUUAAUGUUAAUGAGAAUUAUAUUCUACCUAAGUGUUCUACCUUGAUUGUACUCAGGUAUAUAGAAGAAAAGAAGGAUUAAUGGGACCCUAAAGAACGAACCAGUGCAAGUCCUAGAAGACACAUCAAAAACGGACCAGUUGAAGUCAAAAACGGACCAGUGCAAAGAAAUCUUCAUAACUUUUUAAUCACAAAAGCUAUGAAGGCUCAUGAGGACUUGUUGGAAAGCUUGUCGAGUCUACUUUCUAAUGAAUCUAGUGGCGACCAGUUUGGAUACUCCAUAUUGCCUGUAGACCAGAAUUAGUACAGACUGCUCAGAAGGUCAACAGUUUGUCGUGACAGAAUGUUGGCACAACUUUCUAUGCAAAACUGUACCAAUCUACAACGUUUCAUGGUGCAUGGCAUACAUUGCUGUAAAGCUCUUCGAGUCUAGUUUCACACCAGAGAAACGGUUCGUCAUUUGGAGUUUCCAAUUAAAAGUUAUGGUCAAUUUAUUGGAAACUGCUCUGGAGGCCAACAGUCACGCGAAGCCACUUCGGGAAUCCAUUUCGAAGGGACCUUUCACAUUGCCUUCUCUCAGAAACUCUAUUUUGUUUUCAUACCUAUCUAGCAGGGCUGUUGCUAGUAUAAAUAUCCCCUACCUCUAAGCUAUCAGCAAUCUUUGAUCAUUUGAUAAACUACAUGAUAUUGCAGCCGUGCUGCUGAGUGCCUUACUCAACCUUUGUUCUUCUUUGUUCUUCUUGGACUUGUGAAGAGAAUCCUCUGGGUUCCCCUACUUCGUGCUCUACGGCUACCGUUCGGCUGCGCCGUAUUGUGUGGAUUAGUUCCGGAUUGUGGUUCUGCGGUCGUUCGGAGAUCGAGUCGAAGUCUUCGUGGUUUCGGUGCCUCUCUCCCCGUCGCUUGGUCGCAUCCAACCUUUGUCAGGUAUAAAGCUAGUUACCCGCUGUUCGCAGCAAGUUAUCCUUGUUCUUUUGAUCUACUGUCGUGAAGAUCGGGCCACCCUCGUAUCAAUUCAUAUCGGUAACCUAUCAACUGGUAUCAAAGCUUUCGUUGUCACGGUAGAUCUCAUAAUCAUCCACAUAUCUACCUUUAGUUUAUCUAUUGUUUGUUACUGUUUUGUUCAUCACCUACAGUCCACUGAAAAGCCACAAAAAAAUCCUAGAGCCCUUUGACGGUACUGUUAUCUUGUGUUUUAUGUUCAUCAAGUUGCUAGUCACCAUCUUUACAUAUAUUGUGUUGUGUUUCAUUUGUUAUCCGUACCCCUGUUAAGAUAGAAAAAGAGUUCAAAAAAAUCAGAAAAAAUUCAGAGAAAAGAAAAGAGAAAGAACAGAAAAGUAGAAGAAGAGGAAGUUGUAUUGCGGUUUGCUUGCUGAAAAAUUCAGUUUACAUAUUCAUAUUCUUGGAGAUUUAUAUACCAGCAACAUUAUAUCAUUUGAGCACAUCAAAUCACUUGAUUUUCAGUACCGUAGCAUUCCUUGUUUAGCCACCUAUAGCUCCACACCAGGACAUUCGACUCAUAAUCCUUGCGACCUCGGAAUCACUUCUGUUGAGCCGCUACACUAGCACAAUUCACUAUCCUUGAGAACAGGAAAGAGCAUUGGUAAGUAAGAGGUGAGAUUGUGUGAUUUCAUAAAUUUACCCAUUCCACUAUAUCUUGCAUAAGUGCUAACAUGCCAGGAUUCAAUUCGAGCGUUCGUGGUGGUCGAUAUGGAGAAAAAGAAACAUCAGUUUCGCGGGCUGAGUUACGCCAACUACAAAACUCACUAGUGGAGGCCAUGGAGAAGAUGUUUGAUGAACGUCUUCCUUUGGUGCGCGGUCGCACUAAACAACAUAGCUCAGCCAACUCUCGCCGUGGUCUCUUUGGCCACAGUGGACAACAUGGAGGAGGUGCUCAUGGGCAUAGCAUUCGCCCCCGUGUGCUCAUUGAUGAUGAAGAUUACUGUGUGUCCCCCAAAAGAAAAAUUCAGCAAGAGUGCCACCAACCAAAAUUGAGUGAGAGAAAUCAAAAGGAAAAGAUGAGACAUUCCACCAUACGUGAGAAAGAGUGGCACCAACCAAAAUUCAGUGAGAGAGUUCAAAAUAAGAAGAUGAGAGAUUCCACAAUAUUUGAGGAGAGCCACAAAACUCUAUGUGAGAGUGAUCCACAAAAAUUGAGAGAAAAAAGAGAUGAAUCAUGUGAGAAAUUAUUUACUUCUAACAUCAUAAUACCUUCUAUUCUUGUUCCUUUUGCGAUGCAGGUUCAUGAAGAAAAUGAUGUUGUGAAUUAUGAUCAGCCCCCAAUCUUCGAUGAGGAAGAACAAGUGAUUGUCAAUGACAACGAUACACAUGCAUAUGUGGCUUCACAAGACGUUGAAGUAAUUGUGCAUCAAAACCUAUGUGAGAAUGAGAGCCACAUUGCCAAAAUGAGAGAGAGUGAAGACAAAGGAGAGUGGAGUGAUUCCACCCACUAUAAGAUUGAGAGUGUCAACAAUGAGAGUGUGAGGGAUACACCACAGAAAAAUAGAUAUUUAGAAUGCAGGCCAAGUGAGAAUAUCUUUGAAACUAACACUCUCAUCUCUACUUCUAGUUUUGUCUUUCCAAAUGUGCAGAUUGGUGAUGAGAAUAGGGAAGAGAUGGAUGCUCAAGACAACACCAUACUUGUUGAGAGAAAUCAGAAGGUAGACAUUCAACUAAACCCAUUGUGUGUUGCCCAAAACCUAAACCAUGACAUGGAUAACGGUAAUAUUUCAGAGGUGCAAUCGUUGGUACUUGCACCACCAAAAAGUCUAAAAGUUAUUGAAAAUAAAUCAGAUUUGAGUUUGCAAAAUAAAAUGGCAUGUAAUUAUGAUAAUACACAUGGUUUAAAUGAGAUUAACCAUACACGAAAUAUUUGCACUGAUUUGAUUAUUUCACAUGUUCACCCGUGUGCUGAAAUUUUGCAAGUUGAUAACCAAAGUUCAAUCAUACAUGAUCUUUUCUAUGGUUUGAUAUGGUUCAUGUACAUGAUGAUUUGCAUUCACAUGUGUGAUACGAUGCAUUAUGUUUCAAUACUCAUACAUCUUAGAGAUGGCUGCACAUUUGUCAACCCUUUAGUUAAUUCAUCAAAACCAUCUAAGAUCAACAAUGAAGGUAAAAAUUCGGAGAUUCAAACCUUGGUACAUAUAGAAUCAUUGGAUUUAAAAUACAUGAAAAAUAAAUCAAAUCUGAUUGUUCAACGCAUACUGAGUACUUGUGAUAUCACUGUUUCAGCAAUAAAACAUGACCAAAAUAUUUGUGCUGAUUUGACUCGAACUCAUGUUGAUACAAGUGCUGAGUUUCUUUUUGAUGAGAGUCUUUGUGCUUUGAAUAAUCCUUGCAAAACUUCAUAUAACAACAAACAACACCUCAUCGAGUCGGUUAGUUAUGCUGAUUUGUUUACAAGGAUAUCUCCUCUUGAAUGUUUGUGGUAUACUAUGCUUAACAUGCCUAUCAAUAUCGAACAAAUGCUAGAGAAAAUUUCUAACAUAACAUCUUUGAGUUCAAUGAAUACUAAUAGCUUCCAGUUUACAUUUGUCUUGAUUGGAGAACAUGUUGUAGAUACCUUCCAGGUUCAUGCAAUUUGUGUAACAUAUAACAAGCUUGCUGAUUUAGACUCAACAAUGUUGAGAGAUAAACAAAGUGAGAAAUCUUUUAAGAUGCAACAAAUGCUUGGUGCUUAUGGUUUCGAUCAAUUCAUGUUGUCAGCAUGUUCGUACCAUCCACUUAAAGAUAGAAAUCUUGUGCAAAGCAAAGCCUAUACACCGAAAAGUUAUUCAUCCACACCUUGGAGCAUUGAGUUUAAAAAUUAUACUUCUAAACCAUUGAAUAAAUUUUGCUGCCACAAUAAUUUUUGGAAUAACAUUAGUUCUCAACAUCCAUUUGAUGAAAAGUUUGAUCUUCUAAAGAUAAAACAUGACAACAUGAAUCAAAUGAUUGGAUUGGAAGAAAUUUUUGUGCUACCAUCCUCUAAACUGUUUGCAGGUUCACCAAAGUUGAGAGAAUGUUUCUUACAUGGAAAAGGAAAUAAUGCAAAAAUAAUUCAAAAUGAAACAAAUGAACAGAACAAAAGGAAUGAUUAUUGGAAUUAUCAAGUACGUCCACCCUCUAUUUUGUCUAAGCUGUUUUCAGGUAAACAAAAGUCGUGGACGACUUUUCUUGAAGGGAGGGAGGAUGAUGAGACCAUACCAAGGCAAUCUACAUUCAAGCAUCCACUCAAGGUGAAAGCUAAACUUAAUUCCAAAUCAUUUAGGUUUCCACAUACAAGGCUACUACUUGGUUUAUAUGAUUAUAGAUUCAAACACCUUGCUAUCAUGGAACAAGAAGAUUGCGAUGUUAUCACAACAUUACAAACCGAUGGCCUAGCACAACUAUUUGGAUCAGAAGAGUUAGAGUCGAGGACGACUCCUUUUCAAGAGGGGGAGAAUGAUAUGACCAUGCCAGCAAGCAAGAUGUCACAAGCUCCAAGUCCAGCAAGCAAUAUGUCACAAGCUCCAAGUCAAGCUACAACCACUCAAGUUUUACCUACACCGACACCAGCCCAAAUCAUCGAUGGACCGGUUACACGUAGUCGUGCAAAGAAGCUACAACAAGAGGUCCACGCGCUACUUUGUGAGAUUCAUUUUAAUGUUAAUGAGAAUUAUAUUCUACCUAAGUGUUCUACCUUGAUUGUACUCAGGUAUAUAGAAGAAAAGAAGGAUUAAUGGGACCCUAAAGAACGAACCAGUGCAAGUCCUAGAAGACACGUCAAAAACGGACCAGUUGAAGUCAAAAACGGACC
This 7823-nucleotide long non-coding RNA is filed under the name Sorghum bicolor (sorghum). RNAcentral's name for it is "long non-coding RNA (SBIC_LNC009813)". The record is from RNAcentral. Lineage: Eukaryota; Viridiplantae; Streptophyta; Magnoliopsida; Poales; Poaceae.